CAACGUCGAGGAUGGCCAAACUGUGACCGGUGCCCGCUUUGCAAUCAGGUACAAGAAUCAGCAGCCCACAUCAUUUUCAAGUGUAGGUUCUCGCUCCGGGUUUGGGAUGAGGUGUUCGCCUGGCUCGGGCUUGCUAUUCCCAUGGCUAGUUGGCACCAAUUCAGCACUGUUAAAUCAUGGUGGGAUGAGCUACUCUCGAACAACACCCAACCGGUUAAGGCCUUAUCUUCUCUUCUACUCCUUGUGGGGUGGGAACUUUGGAAGGAACCGAAUGCGCGCGUCUUCAGGAGCAAAGCGGCACCGGUGGUGAUCGUCAUAUGGAUCAUCAAAGAAGAAAUGUCUAUUUGGGCUAUUGCGGGCACCAAGCAAUUGAGCAAUGUAAUGCUGCAAGAGUAA
Molecule: ribosomal RNA, 396 nt
Filed under: Triticum aestivum (bread wheat)
Lineage: Eukaryota; Viridiplantae; Streptophyta; Magnoliopsida; Poales; Poaceae
Description: partial small subunit ribosomal RNA
Source: RNAcentral